This 397-nucleotide ribosomal RNA is filed under the name uncultured bacterium. RNAcentral's name for it is "partial 16S ribosomal RNA". It matches the Rfam family "Bacterial small subunit ribosomal RNA", at positions 523 to 918 of the family's 1533-position model. The record is from RNAcentral.
AUACGUAGGUGGCAAGCGCUGUCCGGAAUUAUUGGGCGUAAAGCGCGCGCAGGUGGUUCCUUAAGUCUGAUGUGAAAGCCCCCGGCUCAACCGGGGAGGGUCAUUGGAAACUGGGGAACUUGAGUGCAGAAGAGGAUAGUGGAAUUCCAAGUGUAGCGGUGAAAUGCGUAGAGAUUUGGAGGAACACCAGUGGCGAAGGCGACUGUCUGGUCUGUAACUGACACUGAGGCGCGAAAGCGUGGGGAGCAAACAGGAUUAGAUACCCUGGUAGUCCACGCCGUAAACGAUGAGUGCUAAGUGUUGGGGGGUUUCCGCCCCUCAGUGCUGCAGCUAACGCAUUAAGCACUCCGCCUGGGGAGUACGGUCGCAAGACUGAAACUCAAAGGAAUUGACGGGG